This 65-nucleotide transfer RNA is filed under the name Dipodomys ordii (Ord's kangaroo rat). It matches the Rfam family "tRNA". From Rfam's summary of the family: Transfer RNA (tRNA) molecules are approximately 80 nucleotides in length. The record is from Rfam by way of RNAcentral. Lineage: Eukaryota; Metazoa; Chordata; Mammalia; Rodentia; Heteromyidae.
GGUGGCUUAGUGGUAGAGCGCUUGCCUAGCAUGCAGGAAGCCCUGGGUUUGAUUCCUCAGCACCA